AGCCCUGACAUCCCCUGUUCUGAGACCCUCCCAGCCCUGACAUCCCCUGUUCUGACAGCAUCCAUGGGAGAUUUUUGUUCUCUUCUACUCCCCACAUUCCAUCUGCCCUGUUUCUUUUGAAUAAGCUCCAUGGCCUGGUCCUGAGUAUCAGUCAUCUCACAAGGGCUCGGUGAUAUCUAUGAGGUUGACAAAUAGUACCAGGAAGCAGGGAACCUGUCAUCAGCUACUCUGAGUCUUCUGUUCUUCCUCAGCUCUUUACAAGAUGGUCUCUCACUCUGGAGCUUGUGUGGAUCUCCUCAGUCAUUCUGAGAAGGAGGAGGAGAAGGAAGAGGAAGCA
Molecule: non-coding RNA, 337 nt
Organism: Phascolarctos cinereus (koala)
Lineage: Eukaryota; Metazoa; Chordata; Mammalia; Diprotodontia; Phascolarctidae
Source: RefSeq, a predicted model, not a curated record